UACGGGAGGCAGCAGUGGGGAAUCUUAGACAAUGGGCGCAAGCCUGAUCUAGCCAUGCCGCGUGAGUGAUGAAGGCCUUAGGGUCGUAAAGCUCUUUCGCCUGUGAAGAUAAUGACUGUAGCAGGUAAAGAAACCCCGGCUAACUCCGUGCCAGCAGCCGCGGUAAUACGGAGGGGGUUAGCGUUGUUCGGAAUUACUGGGCGUAAAGCGCACGUAGGCGGAUCAGAAAGUUGGGGGUGAAAUCCCGGGGCUCAACCCCGGAACUGCCUCCAAAACUCCUGGUCUUGAGUUCGAGAGAGGUAAGUGGAAUUCCGAGUGUAGAGGUGAAAUUCGUAGAUAUUCGGAGGAACACCAGUGGCGAAGGCGACUUACUGGCUCGAUACUGACGCUGAGGUGCGAAAGUGUGGGGAGCAAACAGGAUUAGAUACCCUGGUAGUCCACACCGUAAACGAUGAAUGCCAGACGUCGGCAAGCAUGCUGUCGGUGUCACACCUAACGGAUAAG
RNAcentral lists this ribosomal RNA (504 nucleotides) under uncultured bacterium. RNAcentral describes it as "bacterial SSU rRNA". It matches the Rfam family "Bacterial small subunit ribosomal RNA", at positions 340 to 864 of the family's 1533-position model. The record is from RNAcentral.